GGGGUUGUGGCUCAACAGUAGAGCGCUCGCCUCUCACAUGUGAGACCUGAGUUCGAUCCUUAGCACCA
RNAcentral lists this transfer RNA (68 nucleotides) under Ictidomys tridecemlineatus (thirteen-lined ground squirrel). RNAcentral's name for it is "Spermophilus tridecemlineatus (thirteen-lined ground squirrel) tRNA". It matches the Rfam family "tRNA". Rfam says of the family: Transfer RNA (tRNA) molecules are approximately 80 nucleotides in length. Their secondary structure includes four short double-helical elements and three loops (D, anti-codon, and T loops). Further hydrogen bonds mediate the characteristic L-shaped molecular structure. tRNAs have two regions of fundamental functional importance: the anti-codon, which is responsible for specific mRNA codon recognition, and the 3' end, to which the tRNAs corresponding amino acid is attached (by aminoacyl-tRNA synthetases). tRNAs cope with the degeneracy of the genetic code in two manners: having more than one tRNA (with a specific anti-codon) for a particular amino acid; and 'wobble' base-pairing, i.e. permitting non-standard base-pairing at the 3rd anti-codon position. The record is from Rfam by way of RNAcentral. Lineage: Eukaryota; Metazoa; Chordata; Mammalia; Rodentia; Sciuridae.